GCGUUGGUGGUUUAGUGGUAAAAUCCGUCGUUGCCAUCCGGAUUCAUUCGGGACGAUUCGACGGGCCCCGGGUUCGAUUCCCGGCCGACGCA
RNAcentral lists this transfer RNA (92 nucleotides) under Trichodelitschia bisporula. It matches the Rfam family "tRNA". Rfam says of the family: Transfer RNA (tRNA) molecules are approximately 80 nucleotides in length. Their secondary structure includes four short double-helical elements and three loops (D, anti-codon, and T loops). Further hydrogen bonds mediate the characteristic L-shaped molecular structure. tRNAs have two regions of fundamental functional importance: the anti-codon, which is responsible for specific mRNA codon recognition, and the 3' end, to which the tRNAs corresponding amino acid is attached (by aminoacyl-tRNA synthetases). tRNAs cope with the degeneracy of the genetic code in two manners: having more than one tRNA (with a specific anti-codon) for a particular amino acid; and 'wobble' base-pairing, i.e. permitting non-standard base-pairing at the 3rd anti-codon position. Lineage: Eukaryota; Fungi; Ascomycota; Dothideomycetes; Phaeotrichales; Phaeotrichaceae. The record is from Rfam by way of RNAcentral.